UACGUAGGGUGCGAGCGUUAAUCGGAAUUACUGGGCGUAAAGUGUGCGCAGGUGGCCGCGCAAGUCGAGUGUGAAAUCCCCGAGCUUAACUUGGGAAUUGCGCUCGAAACUACGUGGCUCGAGUGUGGCAGAGGAAGGUGGAAUUCCACGUGUAGCGGUGAAAUGCGUAGAGAUGUGGAGGAACACCGAUGGCGAAGGCGGCAUCCUGGACCAAUAUUGACGCUGAGGAGCGAAAGCCAGGGGAGCAAACGGG
This 253-nucleotide ribosomal RNA is filed under the name uncultured bacterium. Its description in RNAcentral is "partial 16S ribosomal RNA". It matches the Rfam family "Bacterial small subunit ribosomal RNA", at positions 524 to 776 of the family's 1533-position model. The record is from RNAcentral.